RNAcentral lists this ribosomal RNA (483 nucleotides) under uncultured bacterium. Its description in RNAcentral is "partial 16S ribosomal RNA". It matches the Rfam family "Bacterial small subunit ribosomal RNA", at positions 28 to 523 of the family's 1533-position model. The record is from RNAcentral.
GACGAACGCUGGCGGCGUGCCUAACACAUGCAAGUCGAACGAGGUCCAAGGAAGCUUGCUUCCUGACGACCUAGUGGCGAACGGGUGAGUAACACGUGAGAAACCUGCCUCGGAGUGGGGAAUAACUCGGGGAAACUCGAGCUAAUACCGCAUAUCUUCACAUGAUCGCAUGGUCGAGUGAAGAAAGAAUUUCGCUCUGAGAGGGUCUCGCGGCCUAUCAGCUUGUUGGUGGGGUAACGGCCCACCAAGGCAACGACGGGUAGCUGGUUUGAGAGAAAGAUCAGCCACACUGGGACUGAGACACGGCCCAGACUCCUACGGGAGGCAGCAGUGGGGAAUCUUGCGCAAUGGGCGAAAGCCUGACGCAGCAACGCCGCGUGCGGGAUGACGGCCUUCGUGGUUGUAAACCGCUUUCAGCAGGGACGAAAAUGAUGGUACCUGCAGAAGAAGCCCCGGCUAACUACGUGCCAGCAGCCGCAGUAA